AUUGCAUAUGCACUUGUUUAUUAUUAAUGAAUUUGCUUUGUCUUGAAUUUUACCAGUCAAGUAGCAUUUUUUCAUCAAUGGUGUAUCAAAAGUUCAAGGAGGUAGAGCUUGCAUGAGGUUCCGUUGGUGAAGUGUACGGCAGUGUAAAUGUUUAGGUAACCACAACUUCCAUAAACCUCAGCUAGUAAGUUCCAAAGCCAAAUCUUUGUUUUACAAUUUUCACAAAUAUGAGUGUUCCAUGCUGAUACUAUUUCUGGGACUUGCAAAUUUUCUUUAUGUCAGUUGGUUACAUUGCUUACACACUAAGGCAAAGUGCUUGUACCUUGAGCUUUUGAAGCCUACCUGUUGCAUUGAAUAUUUCCAUUUUUAAGCCAACUUUGAGC
Molecule: long non-coding RNA, 383 nt
Filed under: Medicago truncatula (barrel medic)
Lineage: Eukaryota; Viridiplantae; Streptophyta; Magnoliopsida; Fabales; Fabaceae
Description: long non-coding RNA (MTRU_LNC006810)
Source: RNAcentral